CCCUUGUUCCUAUCCCUCCAACCCCUUCCCCGGCAACCCUUGACGCACCUAUGUCCAAUGACCUGUCUACUUCAAUAUCCGCCCUUUUCACUGCAGUCACUUCCCUGGUUAACUCCGCGAUCCCAGCAUUGCCUCCCAUCGAUAUACCUCCUCCUCCUCCUCCUCCUCCCCCCGAGCCUUCAACCCCUCCCUUGUCUCCCGUUAAUCUCCUCGAGCCUUCCGAUCCAAUCUCUGCUCUUGCACAUGUCCUAAACACC
Non-coding RNA from Pelobates cultripes (western spadefoot toad), 257 nucleotides. The record is from the annotation of a GenBank genome assembly. Lineage: Eukaryota; Metazoa; Chordata; Amphibia; Anura; Pelobatidae.